Non-coding RNA from Paramuricea clavata, 245 nucleotides. The record is from the annotation of a GenBank genome assembly. Lineage: Eukaryota; Metazoa; Cnidaria; Anthozoa; Malacalcyonacea; Plexauridae.
CAACCCCACCACCACAAAAACCGCCCCAAAAACCACUGCAGCCUCUCCCAAGGUUAAACCCAGAAACUCCAUGCAGUUGUGCUUGGCCAGCGUCGUAAUCGUUUUAAACUUUUUACUGUAAGCACAAAAGAGCGUUUUAAAUGUAACGAAACGUAACCUCAGAGGGUUUUAAAUGAGGAAAAAGAUUAAGAGUGACUUUAUAUCUGAUAAAAAACACAUCUUCAUUAGUAUUCUUUAUAUAAUUG